AGGGCAUAAGUCUGUUUUGCCUAUGUUGGAUAUGGCUUAAACUGUACUAGCCUGAGCAAUUAAGAUUCUUACACUUACUGAGCUUUGACUUCUGCCGCUUCCCAUGCCUACGGUGUGCCCUGGAGAGAGAUGUUGUGAGAGAUAACAAUACUUCAUCUCCUGAACACACUGGCUCCCUGUAAAGUGAGUAUGCUUAAUACC
Molecule: long non-coding RNA, 201 nt
Filed under: Cyanistes caeruleus (blue tit)
Lineage: Eukaryota; Metazoa; Chordata; Aves; Passeriformes; Paridae
Description: lncRNA (ENSCCEG00000018269.1)
Source: RNAcentral